GAACGCUGGCGGCGUGCUUAACACAUGCAAGUCGAACGGGAUCCCUGGCGGCCUGGCUGUCGGGGUGAGAGUGGCGAACGGGUGAGUAAUGCGUGACCAACCUGCCCUGUGCACCGGAAUAGCUCCUGGAAACGGGUGGUAAUACCGAUGCUCCGCCCCACCGCAUGGUGGGGUGGGAAAUGCUUUUUGCGGCAUGGGAUGGGGUCGCGUCCUAUCAGCUUGUUGGCGGGGUGAUGGCCCACCAAGGCGUUGACGGGUAGCCGGCCUGAGAGGGUGACCGGCCACAUUGGGACUGAGAUACGGCCCAGACUCCUACGGGAGGCAGCAGUGGGGAAUAUUGCACAAUGGGCGCAAGCCUGAUGCAGCGACGCCGCGUGCGGGAUGGAGGCCUUCGGGUUGUAAACCGCUUUUGUUCAAGGGCAAGGCACGGCUUUGGGCCGUGUUGAGUGGAUUGUUCGAAUAAGCACCGGCUAACUACGUGCCAGCAGCCGCGGUAAUACGUAGGGUGCGAGCGUUAUCCGGAUUUAUUGGGCGUAAAGGGCUCGUAGGCGGUUCGUCGCGUCCGGUGUGAAAGUCCAUCGCCUAACGGUGGAUCUGCG
Molecule: ribosomal RNA, 599 nt
Filed under: Bifidobacterium animalis
Lineage: Bacteria; Bacillati; Actinomycetota; Actinomycetes; Bifidobacteriales; Bifidobacteriaceae
Description: bacterial SSU rRNA
Rfam family: Bacterial small subunit ribosomal RNA
Source: RNAcentral